GCCGUGGUGGCGGAACUGGCAGACGCGCAUGGUUGAGGGCCAUGUCCUUUACGGGGUGGAGGUUCGAGUCCUCUCCACGGCACCA
Molecule: transfer RNA, 85 nt
Filed under: Anaerolinea sp.
Lineage: Bacteria; Bacillati; Chloroflexota; Anaerolineae; Anaerolineales; Anaerolineaceae
Also listed under: 1 other name
Description: tRNA-Leu
Rfam family: tRNA
About the family: Transfer RNA (tRNA) molecules are approximately 80 nucleotides in length. Their secondary structure includes four short double-helical elements and three loops (D, anti-codon, and T loops). Further hydrogen bonds mediate the characteristic L-shaped molecular structure. tRNAs have two regions of fundamental functional importance: the anti-codon, which is responsible for specific mRNA codon recognition, and the 3' end, to which the tRNAs corresponding amino acid is attached (by aminoacyl-tRNA synthetases). tRNAs cope with the degeneracy of the genetic code in two manners: having more than one tRNA (with a specific anti-codon) for a particular amino acid; and 'wobble' base-pairing, i.e. permitting non-standard base-pairing at the 3rd anti-codon position.
Source: RNAcentral